Molecule: long non-coding RNA, 3922 nt
Filed under: Piliocolobus tephrosceles (Ugandan red Colobus)
Lineage: Eukaryota; Metazoa; Chordata; Mammalia; Primates; Cercopithecidae
Description: lncRNA (ENSPTEG00000003730.1)
Source: RNAcentral
AAUACAAAUCGCAAAAAACAUAUAUGAAGAACAACCAUAUAGUAAUAAUACUACUAAUAAUAUUUGUACUAAUGAAAGUACUAAUAACAAAAAAACAAAUCUAUAUCGUUUACAACCUCCACCUCCACCUGCAUUUACUAUGUAUAACAUAAAUAACAAGGACAUCCGAAUUAAUGAAAGUGCAAAAUAUUUUAACAAUUACAAAAAUGCUUUUAUUAUGAAUAACGGGCAUGACGAUAUUACUACUACUAACACUACUAGUACUAACACUACUAGUACUAGUACUAGUACUACUACUAAUAAUAAUACUACUACUGCUACUGCUACUACUGCUACUGCUACUACUACUACUGCUACUGCUACUACUACUGCUAAUAAAAACGAUAAUAAAGAUAAUAAUGAUUAUAAUGAUUAUAAUGAUUAUAAUGACAAAGGAGAUGACACAUGUAAUAACACCCGAAUUAGUACUUAUCACUAUAACUGUUUUUUGAACUCUGUUCAACCCUAUAGUCCAAACAAAACAUCAUACUUUAGUAAAAAUGUUGUACCACCACCACCCAAUGUGAAAAAUGUUAAUUAUAAAAACAAAUCGGAUUUACCUAUGAAAAAUAAAGUUUUGUUACUAAGAGCUUCAGCAAAAGACAAAACAAACAUUACAACUAUGGGUAUUAGUAAUACUAACACUAAUGCUAAGGAUAAACAUAUAAAUGAUAAUAUUAACAAUGAAAUGAAUGAAUUUGAAAAUACAGAUGUAUCUUGUUUGGAAUCAUCACAUGGUACCAACGCAAAUGACACAAAUGACACAAAUGACAAUAAUAACACAAAUCGUGCCAGCACAAAUGAACAUGAAUACGAACAUGAACAUGAACAUGAACAUGAACACAACACUUUUAUAGGUGAAAAAAAUCCUUUCCAUAUAAAUCGUGAUAAUACAAUGCAGUUUAAUCCAUCAUGGAUUGAAAGAAAAGAAAAAAGUGUUUUUAAUUGGAAAUCAUCUCAAUCUAUACAAAAUAAACAUCUGGAUUAUGUUAAUUCAUUUUUGAAUAACAAAAUAUAUAAUCGUUAUUUAUUAAUAACAAAUAUACCAACUAGUUUGAAUGAUGAACGUAAAUUGAAGGCGUAUAUAAAUAAAUUAAUUGAUGAUUCAACUGGUGCUGAAACAGAUACUAAUAAAGGAAAUAACAAAAACUCCGCUUGUGUUGAAUGCACUAUUUUUAUGGCUAAGAAAGAAAAUGAAUCUGUUUUUUUUUUUAAAACAAACAGUUCUGAUAAUAUACAUCCUGAUGACGGGAACAUAGAAAAAAGUGAACCUUCAUCGGACUUACCGAUUGAAGUUGCUGUAGAUGACACAAAUGUGCAUGAGGUUGAUGAAUGUAUGGACAAACAGUUGGUAGGAAAUUUACAACACGAGUCACAACAUAUAUCAGAAAAAGGAAAAGGGGGUCACACCCAAAACGAAUCUAUAAAUAAUAACAGCAGUAGUAACAAUGACAAUGGUAGUGGUAAUGGCAGUGGUAAUGGCAGUGGUAAUGGCAGUGGUAACGGCAGUGGUAAUGGCAGUGGUAAUGGCAGUGGUAAUGGCAGUGGUAAUGGCAGUGGUAAUGGCAGUGGUAACGGCAGUGGUAAUGGCAGUGGUAAUCAUGAUGAACAGAACGAAAUCAACACUGUUGGAAAAAAGUGUGAAACAAAACCAACAGAAGACGAACAAAAAGAUGAAAAGGGUACCACUAGUAAUAGUACCACUAGUAACAAUAACACUAGUAACAAUAACACUAGUAACAAUAACACUAGUAACAGUAACACUAGUAACAAUAACACUAGUAACAAUAACACUAAUUCUAUUACUAAUGAAUCAGACAAAAAUAGAGAAAUAAAUUGUGAAACAAAAGAUGGUAAAAACAUAAAUGAAACACAUAAUGUUAAUGAUAAAGAAAAAAUAGAAACGAUGGAAGUUGAACCAAAACACGAUGAAUCACCCACACCCACACCCACACCCACACCCACUGUGUUUGACUCCUCAUCAUGUUUACUACCAAAAGAACAAGAUGAUAAAGAAACAGAAACAAACCCUUCAACAUUAAUACCAUACGCUCACUUAACUUUUAGAACUAUCAAACAAUGUUUUGAUAUUAAAAAAUUAUUAGAAGAACAAAAUUUUAAAGUUGCAUUUUCAGCCCCAAAAAAAGCACAUAAUUGUCUAUGGGUUGGUAACUUACUAAAAAAUUAUUUUGUUCAAACAUCAAAUAUAUUAAUGAAUAUGUUUUCUUAUUUUGGUAACAUCAUAAAAACAAAAUAUAUGGCUGAUAAAAAUUGUUUUUUUGUUUAUUAUAAAGAUAUAGAAAGUGCAAUAGCAGCUAGAAAUCAUCUAUGCGGAAUGCAAAUAUCAAAUAGGACCUUAUUAAAUGUUGAUUUUUCCAGUAUGUCAAAUGACAUAGAUGAAAAACCCAAAACAAAUUAUCAUUACUAUUAUAAUAAUCGUUAUUACUAUAAUGACACUAAUGCUAGUAAUAGUAGUAGUAGUAGUAUAAAAAAAAAAAAACCUGAACCUUUAUAUAAUAUCUACAAAAAAGGUUUUAAUUAUAUGCAUCAUAAGUUACAUAAUAGAUUAAAAUAUAACAGACAUAAUAAGACAUUAGUAAAUAACAAUAGUAGUACUAGUUUAUCCUUUAAAAAUAGUGAAAGGAACAGAAGAAGAAUGGAAACAUCAACAUCGGAUGUAGUAAUUGAUGAGAGUGUUAAUGAUGACACUGCUACUGUAGCUGUCGACACUUCUGAUAAUACGACUGCUAAUAAUACGACUGCUAAUAAUACGACUGCUAAUAAUACGACUACUAAUAAUACGACUACUGGUAAUAACUACAAAUACGACAAAUAUUAUAACAACAUACAUAAUAAUCAUAAAAAAAAAUACAUAAUAAAUAAAAAUAAUAAUAUUAAUACAUAUAACUAUAAAAGUGAUAGAAAUAAUAAAACCAAAUUGUAUAAACAUAAUAUGGAUUAUGUCAAAAGACAUAAACAUGCUAGAUCAUCUUAUAACAGGAAAACAGAAAGGAAAGUCAUAUCGAAGCAGGGUGGUGGUUUAUAUCGCUAUACAGAUGACCAUCGAACAACUGAAUACGACCAUAAAGACCAUGACGACCAUAAAGACCAUGACGACCAUGAAGACCAUGACGAUCAUGACCAACAUGACCAACAUGAUGAACACACAACGGAUAGUAAAAGAUUACACAGAACACAUAAAAGAAAAAGAGAUGGUGCAAGUGACAGAUAUGACGAGAAAAACACAAAAUCGAAUAAUUUUUCAAAGGGCGAUAGCCAAACUUAUGGAAGCAAACCAUCCGACUAUGAUGCAACAUACAACAUCAAAUAUGAGAUUAAUAAUAAUGACCGUAAUAUCAAUAAUGGUAAAAGUAGAUAUAUAAGUACACAACGAAGUAAAGAAUGGAGUAAAGAAAAAAGUAAAGAAUGGAGUAAAGAAAAAAGUAAAGAAAGAAGUAAAGAAAGAAGUAAAGAAAGAAGUAAAGAAAGAAGUAAAGAAAGAAGCAAGGGAAAAAGUAGAAACAAAAAUAAAUACAGCAAUAAUGGUAACAACGUUAAUGGUUUUAUAAAAAACGGUGUAGAUCAUUUUACUAAUCAAAAUGAAAUUUUUAAUAGUGACAACAAUGGACAGGACAAAAACGAGAAGGAGGUUGCUUUUUAUGUAAACCAGAAAUAUGAAUGUGACCUUGGUGCGAAAUUCUAUGAUGGGAAUCCUCAAAUAAGCAUUUAUAACAAACUAAAUGUAGAAACACAAAGCGACAUCAGAAGUUUGAAGCAAAUAAAAAACAUUUGCCUCGAUUAUUCAGUUUGGCAAUUGGGUCCAAGUAAUACACACAUACAUGGCUAUAUGCGUCACAGAUAUAUGUACAUUUGUGUUUUGUGC